This 245-nucleotide ribosomal RNA is filed under the name uncultured Lactobacillus sp. Its description in RNAcentral is "partial 16S ribosomal RNA". It matches the Rfam family "Bacterial small subunit ribosomal RNA", at positions 116 to 355 of the family's 1533-position model. Lineage: Bacteria; Bacillati; Bacillota; Bacilli; Lactobacillales; Lactobacillaceae. The record is from RNAcentral.
CGUGGGUAACCUGCCCAAGAGAUCGGGAUAACACCUGGAAACAGAUGCUAAUACCGGAUAACAACAGAUGAUGCCUAUCAACUGUUUAAAAGAUGGUUUUGCUAUCACUCUUGGAUGGACCUGCGGUGCAUUAGCUAGUUGGUAGGGUAACGGCCUACCAAGGCGAUGAUGCAUAGCCGAGUUGAGAGACUGAUCGGCCACAUUGGGACUGAGACACGGCCCAAACUCCUACGGAGGCAGCAGCC